Molecule: long non-coding RNA, 3506 nt
Filed under: Lupinus angustifolius (narrow-leaved blue lupine)
Lineage: Eukaryota; Viridiplantae; Streptophyta; Magnoliopsida; Fabales; Fabaceae
Description: long non-coding RNA (LANG_LNC002897)
Source: RNAcentral
GUUAUCAUCGGAUGAUGGAACUUUGAUGGAGUCAGUACUAGGUACUUCCUCGUAUUCACGAUGAUUGCAUGUAAUACAAGGUGGAUUCCUUGCACAUAGGAGUUCUCUAUCCCACACAGGUGAGAUUGAAAGUUCAUCUAAACCUCGAGCCAUUUCUGACAAGGCGGUCAUGAAUUGUAAUAUGCCAACUCCAUCAAUCAUUGUGUGAUUAAACCGCAUGCCAACGAUGAAACCACCACACUUGAGGCGUGUAACCUGUCAUUUAAAAUCCACUACCAAUAUUAUCGAUAUGGGAGAUUAAUGAACAAGUCAAGCAACCACAAUAGCAACAUGUAUUAUUUAUCAUUGUAUCUUCAUUUAACUAUUAUUCUAGUUCUUAGUCUGAUAAGUUUACAACUACAACUAAAACUUUAUCUAUAGAUAUAUAUAUCGAAAAUAUUCCUGAAAUCAAAACGGCGAGAGAUAUAGUGCUAAGUUCGAGAAAUAGUUUGAAUGAUAGAUAUUUAUAGUUUAAUGGUUGGAUCCAUAAAAAUGAUUAUGUAAAAAGUUAGAGUGGUCUGUCUUAUAUAUAGUUGAUACUUCCACCUCCUCUAUAUAAUAUAUUUAUAUAUUAUUAUAUAAUUUUUCUUUAUUCCGGUAUAUAUCACCUACAUAACUAUGAAAUUAACCUUCCACCUAGGGAUGGUAAGUGAGACUCACAAAUUCGAAAGUCUAACCCGGCAAUAAAUAUUUGUUUGAGCGUAGUGGACUAUCUCCUUCGUUAACCACUUUUGAUUACAUCUAUGUCUACUGUUUUGCUAUAGGUUUACAUUAAUUUGAACAAUAAUGUGUAUUUAUAUUUGUACAAUUAUAAUAAAUAAACUGCAUAUAUGUAUAACGAUGUGAGUAAAAUAUGGUUUGUAACUCUCUACCUCAACUACAUAUGAGUCUUCAAAUAACAUAAUUAAAUUUUGAAUUUUCACAAAGUUGAAAACUUGAAAUAUUUUUUCUACUAUUCUCUUUGCUAAUUAAGAAGUGGAAAUUAAAAGAGAAAUAUAGUGGUAGACCUGUAUUAGCAGAAGGGGAGUGUGAAGAAUUCCUUCUGAGCCUGGAACAUCAUUAAGGAGUUCUUCAAAACAUGGAAAAGGAGGUUGAAGAGAAUCACCAAAUUGCUCAAGUGUUACAUCUGCAUCAGCCUCAACAAACAACACACCUUCUUCAUUACAAUCCACCAUGAGUUUUCGGUCAGCACCUUCCCUAAGUCUACCUGCAAAUGGGUAGUAGAACACAAGUGUUUGUGCAAGUGCUUGUCUAAUGACUUCAACUGGGUCUUUUCCUUCCAUUGAAGGUUCAUUACGGUAGAUUUGUACGAAUGGAAUUUGGAUACGCAAACCUUGUUGGUCAUCUAUGUCAGAAAGUGGCUUGAUUUCAUGAGGAGUAGGCUUAGCGGGAGUUACAUACUCUGGUUGGUGUCUCCUAACAGUGAAUAUUAGACAGGGAGGAGGAGCCAUAUCUUGGGAAAAAGCCAUAGUGAAAUUAGAGAAUAUCACAUAUGAGUGAGUGUCACAUGCAUUGCAUGGGGCUAAACUGCUAGAAUUUAUAAUGGAGCAUGAGAUAAUGAAUUUAGUAGUAUUAUCAAGGGUAUCUCCUCACCUUUUGGGUAAGGAACUAAUCUUCUUUUAGAUUAUAUGGUUGUCCAUCUCAAUAAGUAUCACUCACAUGAAUCAAACCAUUGACUUUUUACUCCUCUGGGAGUCUAGUAGAAUUUUAUAUCACUAAAUUAACAUAUUGUAGAAUGAAUUAAUCAUUAAUUAGAAAGGCUCUAAGUAGAGGUUCCUGAUAUUUACUCAUGUAUGCAUAGGCCCUAAACCCAUUUGUUUAUUUUUAAUUGUAUGCUUUUGCAGUUUAUGACAAGAAAUUGAGCGACCAAAUAUUUAGGCAAAUUUUAGUCCAUUUGUUUAUUUUUAAUUGUAUGCUUAUGCAGUUAUGACAAGAAAUUGAGGGACCAAAUAUUUAGGGAAGUGUAGGUUAACUUCCUUCUAUACUAGCGUGUCGGUCGACAACUCGUAUUAUUAUUUUUUGUAUAAAAGACCAUACAAUUAGCGAUAAUAUUAUUUUAUUAUGGACGAACGAGUGCUAAUAUAUUCUCUGAUUCGUAAUCAACUUCUAAGCUCAGAACUCGGGUUUAAAGACUAUUUUAUCCAAUUUGGCAUAAAAGAUAGCUUUAUACAUUUUAACCACUAAAAAAUAACGGCGAAUCCAAAUAUGUUGGGAGAGAUGAAGUUGAAUUCACUUCUUCCCAAGUCUAGAGUCGGUUUCCAACUGAAAAUCGAGUAUGACAACUCGCGACUCUACUGUGGACACAUCCUCAUAAGAGAAUUUGACUGAUAGCCACACGAGCUAAAAUACCCUUACCUUGUUAAAAAAAUAUUUAUCUAUUUUUUUCCUAAUCUAAUUAAUUAUUUGUACAUACUCAUCCAUUUUCUUAUGUAGUUUUUUGGGUUGAAAUUUAUUUUUAAUAAAGGUUUGUACACUUUCUCAAACACAAUCACAAUAUGCUUGCUUACACAUACAUAUAUCGUAAACCUGGAUAUUACUGAUUUUGAGAUAGAGGGAACAUCUCUGUUGAUGUUUUCCACACUCUUUCCAUUUCAGUUAUUUUUGCUUUGCCUAUCAAGAAAGCCAUCGACCAAUUCUUUUGCAAAUCUUUUCAUAACUUUGGUAGGCAAGCAAAUUAGUACUACCAUGCCAUCUUCCCCUCUUGAAUUUUUACUCAAGACAUGGUAGUGUGCUCCAAAAAAGGAACCUGCUCCAGCUUUAGCUUGUCCACCAUAUAAAGACUUACCCCAUCCAAAAUCCACAUCUCUAUACCCAAGACGUGUUACAUCUGAUACAAUGCUAGUUCCAGGUAUUGUAAAUAAGGGUCGUUUCUUAAUAACCAUUAAAUCUGCCAAAGAAUGCAUAUAUUCUUCAGUCACCUCAACCUUUGUUUUUUUAAUCAAUUCCACUGCAUACUCAAAUGGGUUUUCACUGAGAUUGUGUACUGUAGUGACUGCUGCAGGGUAUGCAAUACAAUUUCCAUAAUAACCAAUAGGUAAUAUAGGGUUAAACUUAGAACGUGCGUUGACGAUGCACAUCAUUCGAACAACCUCGUGUGAUUCCAAUUGCAGUGCUUUUGUUCGACAAAGCCAUACAUAUGCUGUAAGAACCUCAAAAGUGGUGCAUCGACCAAAAUGAGUGGGAAGCAAGCCAUGAAUUGCUGCUAUCUCAUUGGGUCCAAAGAAGAAAGAUUUGUGAACCAAGUUACCGUUAUCAUCGGAUGAUGGAACUUUGAUGGAGUCAGUACUAGGUACUUCCUCGUAUUCACGAUGAUUGCAUGUAAUACAAGGUGGAUUCCUUGCACAUAGGAGUUCUCUAUCCCACACAGGUGAGAUUGAAAGUUCAUCUAAACCUCGAGCCAUUUCUGACAAGGCGGUCAUGAAUUGUAAUAUGCCAACUCCAUCAAUCAUUGUGUGAUUAAACCGCAU